CCUACGGGAGGCAGCAGUGGGGAAUAUUGCACAAUGGGGGAAACCCUGAUGCAGCGACGCCGCGUGAGUGAGGAAGUAUUUCGGUAUGUAAAGCUCUAUCAGCAGGGAAGAAAAUGACGGUACCUGACUAAGAAUCCCCGGCUAACUACGUGCCAGCAGCCGCGGUAAUACGUAGGGGGCAAGCGUUAUCCAGAUUUACUGGGUGGAAAGGGGGCGUAGACGGUUAAUCAAGUCAGAAGUGAAAACCCAGGGCCCAACCUUGGGACUGCUUUUGAAACUGAGUAGCUAGAGUGCAGGAGAGGUAAGCGGAAUUCCUAGUGUAGCGGUGAAAUGCGUAGAUAUUAGGAGGAACACCAGUGGCGAAGGCGGCGUACUGGACUGUAACUGACGUUGAGGCUCGAAAGCGUGGGGAGCAAACAGGAUUAGAUACCCGAGUAGUC
RNAcentral lists this ribosomal RNA (440 nucleotides) under uncultured bacterium. RNAcentral describes it as "partial 16S ribosomal RNA". It matches the Rfam family "Bacterial small subunit ribosomal RNA", at positions 338 to 795 of the family's 1533-position model. The record is from RNAcentral.